AUGGAUAAUUUGAAAUCAAUAACUUCAAUACCACUUUUUAUAAAACAGGUCAAUUUACAUAUGGUAAAUAUAGCAUAUACAGAAGUAUACAGCAAAAAUUCAUCUCUUCUUACUCUCCUAUUAGGCAUCAGACUCAACAUGAUGCUUCUCACUCCAUCUCACCACUUAAUGAAGAGACAUUUGAGGGGUGGAAAGAAGGGUAGUUAUGACAGAGACAGGUGUAAGCAAUUCCAUUCCCAAAGAUUGAUGGAAUAGAAAUACACCUACAGAAGCUUUGACCAAUUUGACAUCUUCCUUUUAAAGACCCAGGAAAAAGCAAGGUUAAUCCAGCCACAGGCAGAAAUGCCUCCUCUGACUUUAUAUAAACUGGUGAAAUGUGCAAGAGGCCUGAGAAGCAGCUGAGAGGUCCAGAAAAAAUAAUCAUCUGCUCCUCAUGCCAAGAGGCAACAAGCACUGCAGGUAAGAUAAAGUUCCAGACUUUAAACCCAUGCUCAGUGCAGCAGGCCUGCGGCCAUACUUCCCUUGAGAAGGUACCUUGUCCAUCACUACAAUCAGUUCAACCAAAGCAUUUUAUCCAUUUAUUUAUUUUCAAGUUGUCAACGAUGUUUUAGAAGGCAAAGGCCGACAAAGCUUCUUCCAAAAAAGCCGAAGGGAUUUGUUAUUCCUUUUGAGCAAAAUGACCUGCAGACAUUUUUGCAAAACUACUAAUAAAAAAGCUGAGUGCCAAUAUGUUGGCUGAACCAAAAUAAAGCCUUUUAAGUAUAUACCAAUGUAAUAUGAUGUAAUAUAGUGCCAUUUAGAAAAGAAAUAACUAAUGGGAGCAAAGAGGCUAAACAGAAUAUAAUCAUUUAUUAUUACAUGAACUCAUUCUCUGCCUAGCCUACUGUUUAUUCAUAUCAAGAACUUCUACAUUAUGACAAAAUAGUAUUUGAAAUUAGGUUGUGCACUUUCACUAAAACACACAAAGAAGUAACUAAGAAUUCAUAUAUUCUCCUCAAAAGUCUCAUGUACUAUAUUUUAACAUCUGCAUUAGUUUUUCAUACAUGGGUUUCAGUGUGCUCUUUUCUAUACACAUAGUGUAUUUUAGUCAUGGCCAUUUAAUGGGUAGUCAAUAAACGUUUCUUCAGUAUUUUAGUGAAUAAAAUUAUUUUAGACCAAAGGAUCUUAACUUUGAGUCAAUAUUUAACACACUCAUGAGUCCCUAAAAUUGUAUACAAGGUACUUCUUUUUAUUCUAAAAUAAAAAGUCCAUUUUAUUCCUAUGCAGAAAAUCCAUAUAUUUCCUCAUAUUUCCAAAGGACAUUACUGACUUCCCUCCAAUAAAUGAUUAAGUCCUUCUUCUCUCAAAAAUUUAAAGAUAUAAUCUUUCAAGGCAGUAUGGUAUAGUAGAAAGAGGUCUUAGGACUUACCAAAACCCUCAGAAAACCUCAUACUUCACAGUGAUUUGUUAGAAAUAUUUCUAUUAAAAAAAAAGACAAAGAUGUUGAUUAGGACUAUUUUUUAACACUAUAAUGAGGUCUUAUCCAAUGCAGUAAUAAAAAAAAUUUUUAACAGCAAUUACAAAGAGUAUUAUGUAGAAAUGAUGUUAUCUUCUAUAUAUAAUAAGCAUGAUAAUGCACAGACAAUAGAAUUAAUAUAAGGAUUCAACAAGAUUGCCAGAUAACAAGAUCAAUAUGCUAAACCAAUGGGAGUUUCAAUAAAGGGGGAAAAAAGUAAAGAACACAUAAUUUAAAAGAUUCAUUUACUAAGAAGCUUAAAUUACAAGAACUCUGGAAUAUAUCUAGUAUAUUUUAUAAAAAAUAUAAGACUACAUUAAAGAACAUAAAUAUUGAAUGAAAAGAAAUUUCAUAAAGUAAUAAGUAAAUAGAAAUCUCAUAUAGUUUAUUUUAACAAGGCACAAAAACACAAAUUCUAAAAGAAAACAAUAGGGGCACCUGGGUGGCUUGGUUGGUUAGGCAGCUGACUCUUCGUUUUGGCUCAGGUCAUGAUUUCAUGGGUCCUGAGACAGAGCCCUGCUUUGGGCUCCUCACUCAAGUAUGAAGUCUACCUGAAGAUUCUCUCCCUCUACCUUUUCUCCCAGUGGAGCACACAUACUCUCUCUCAAAUAAAUAAAUAUUCUUAAAAAUUAAAAGAAAAUAAAUAAAAUAAUAAUAAGACUGAUUAUAUUGAAAUCAAUGUUUCUUUUAACAAAUUUUCCCCAUAAGAAACAGUCUAUCCAAAGGAAUCAGAUAUUUUCAAUGUACGUAACUAGUAAAGAUAUAGUAUAUAGAAAACGUUCAAAAUGUUUAUAAAUCAAUAAUUUUUAAAACAUAAAUGAACACAAUGUAUAGUAGCAUUAAGAAUAGGGGUAGACGGGCAUUAUGGAGGCCACGUGAUGUCAUGACAACUGGAUUUUAUCCUACGUGCUGGCAAACUGAAUUUUAAAUAAAAUAAAAUAAAAUAAAAUAAAAUAAAAUAAAAUAAAAUAAAAUAGACAGAUGUAGAAUUCAGAGUAGAAGUAGUUAUAAUGAUUAUUGUUAGCAUUAGCAUCAUCAUUACUAUGGUUAUUUAACGAGGACUUGACUUAAGCAAUCUUUUGUUCUAGUCCCUUCAUUUUCUAGAAUAAGUUGCGAUAGUCCUGGGAGGUCUCAACUCAAAUCACAAAGAUUGCCAAAACCAAAGCACUUUUUUUAAAAUAUCCAAAUCUAAAUUUCAAUCUGUUAACACAAUACUUAAUUCACUGACUCCAAUUAUUAGAUAAACAAAUGCUUUUCCAUGCAACACAAUAAUUAAGAUUUGACCACACACAGUGAAUAAGGGAAAAAAAAAUAUUCAUACCAAAUCGAAAACGGGAUUCAGUAUGGAAAGAAUUAGUUCAGCCUAAGAGUAGCACAGUAAGACAUGACCAGUCAUUUCAACAAUAGCAAAGGAAAACUACAAACUAAAACAGUGUGACAAAUUUGCUUAUAAUUUAAAUCAAACUUUAUCACAUAAUUUUGUGGUUGACAUCUAUAACAAUAGACAUUUAAAAAGGUAUGCAUUUUCAAUAUUUUCUACCAAUAAGAUUAAUGACAUAUAUUAUAAACUUCUGAAAAUACCUGGAAGUCUCAAUGUAUAAUUAUUAUAUAUGAAAAAUGCAUUUUCAUUUAGAUACUAUGACUCCAAUUCACAUUUUACAAGAUAUUAUUUCUUCAAUCAAAUUUUUUGAAGCUGGAGGAGGGGCUAGAUGGCAGAAGAGGAGGGUCCCCAAGUCACCUGUCCCCACCAAAUUACCUAAAUAACCAACCUUCAAAUCAUCCUGAAAAUCUAUGAAUUCGGCCUGACAUUUAAAGAGAGAACAGCUGGAAUGCUACAGUGAGAAGAGCUCGCGCUUCUAUCAAGGUAGGAAGACGGGGGAAAAGAAAGAAACAAAAGGCAUCCAAGGGGGAGGGGCCCCGCGAGGAGCCGGGCUGAGGCCGGGGCGGGUGUCCCCAGGACAGGAGAGCCCCGUCCCGGAGACGCAGGAGCUGCACCGACCUUCCCGGGCGGAAAGGGGCCCGCAGGGAGGUGGAGCAGGACCCAGGAGGGCGGGGAUGCCCUCGGGCUCCCCGGGACAGUAACAGAGCAACUGCGCGCCCAGGAGAGUGCGCCGAGCUCCCUAAGGGCUGCAGCGCGCACGGGGGGACCCGGAGCAGCUCGGAGGGGCUCAGGGGCGG
This 3673-nucleotide long non-coding RNA is filed under the name Canis lupus familiaris (dog). RNAcentral describes it as "lncRNA (ENSCAFG00030010506.1)". Lineage: Eukaryota; Metazoa; Chordata; Mammalia; Carnivora; Canidae. The record is from RNAcentral.